GGAAGGAAAUUAAGUACGGAAGUUCCUGAUUUCACGCUGUCAAGAAAAGCCUCUAGGAAGAGUAGUACUGCCCGUACCGCAAACCGACACAGGUAGAUGAGGAGAGAAUCCUAAGGUGAGCGAGAGAACUCUCGUUAAGGAACUCGGCAAAAUGACCCCGUAACUUCGGGAGAAGGGGUGCUCUAUUAGGGUGCAAGCCCGAGAGAGCCGCAGUGAAUAGGCCCAGGCGACUGUUUAGCAAAAACACAGGUCUCUGCAAAACCGUAAGGUGACGUAUAGGGGCUGACGCCUGCCCGGUGCUGGAAGGUUAAGAGGAGUGCUUAGCUUCGGCGAAGGUACGAAUUGAAGCCCCAGUAAACGGCGGCCGUAACUAUAACGGUCCUAAGGUAGCGAAAUUCCUUGUCGGGUAAGUUCCGACCCGCACGAAAGGCGCAACGAUCUGGGCACUGUCUCAACGAGAGACUCGGUGAAAUUAUAGUACCUGUGAAGAUGCAGGUUACCCGCGACAGGACGGAAAGACCCCGUGGAGCUUUACUGCAACCUGAUAUGGAAUGUUUGUACCGCUUGUACAGGAUAGGUAGGAGCCGAAGAGACGUGUGCGCUAGCAUACGAGGAGGCAAUGGUGGGAUACUACCCUGGCUGUAUG
Molecule: ribosomal RNA, 646 nt
Filed under: Listeria innocua
Lineage: Bacteria; Bacillati; Bacillota; Bacilli; Caryophanales; Listeriaceae
Description: partial 23S ribosomal RNA
Rfam family: Bacterial large subunit ribosomal RNA
Source: RNAcentral